GUGCUCACUUUGGCAGCACACAUACUAAAAUUGGAAGGAUACAGAGAUAAACAUGGUCCCUGCACAAGCAUGACAUGCAAAUUCAUGAAGCAUUCCAUAUUUUU
Small nuclear RNA from Cercocebus atys (sooty mangabey), 104 nucleotides. The record is from Ensembl. Lineage: Eukaryota; Metazoa; Chordata; Mammalia; Primates; Cercopithecidae.